GGGAACUAUAGGCAAGUUGGAUCGACAUCAACCAUUGGAAUGAUGCCAGAAUCCAUCACUAAGGAUGUGAUAAUUGAAGACUCAGAAAAUUAUUGCAUGUUUAGACAGAAUCAGCAUAGGUUUAUAAUGGGACACUUGUGUUUGAUGAAUUUAAGAGAUCUUGAAUACACAACUAGCAGAGUAGAGAGCAAAACAAUUGGAUGAAGUCCAUGAGGAUUUUCAGAAGGCAUUAAUAAGGAAUAAUUUUUAAAAAGUGGUUUUGAAAAAAUGAUGGCCAGUGGGAUAAGGAUGGACUGGAGCAUGGAUGGAACAGAAAGCAAAGGGUAGAAAUUAUUCAGCCUUCCCUUGUCAGUAAACGGUUACUACUUUGAUGCUGCAGUGUUCAAUGCUGGGCUCUCUGGAGUUCACAAUUUGUAUAAAUGAGAAGAUGAAAAGGCAGAGUCUCUCUUUUGUGUACCAGCAUGAGAAGAGGAAUGCAGGAGAAUGGGCCUAUACUCACAAGAGUUUGGAAGAGUGAAAGAAGUUGCUUGACCUGCUGAGUUCUCCCAAGUUACAGAAAAAGGUGCAAAAGUAAAUAGAACAAAUAACGAGGCAAUGUUUAUGGGUUUACGAUUCGUUUAAAGAUCUGAUGUCCGAGGUUGGUUAUAGGUUAGAUAACGAACCAUGUAAAAGGAUUCAUAUGUGCUCUGAAAAUUUGAUGUACAAUGAACAUACCAGAAUUUGAAUCAUGAAGGGAAGUUGGACCCCAUUGCAAAAAGGAAUUACCUUAAUAAGACGGAAUGAAUGAAAUGAAGAGUGGAUAUUACCUUUGAAAUCCUGACAUGGUGCAAGACAUCUUCCCCCAGUGGAGACAGACGGCACAACAGAUGGAAAGCAAACCAUGGACUAUGGAAAGGCUGGAUAAAAUUAACUUCAGCAGAUGUUAUGCAGCAUGUGUGAGGAGAGAGAAAGGUGCCACUAACUACACACACCUGCUUCCCAUCAGAAACUGCAGGAUAAAGACCCUGUGAUCACAACAAGGAGCUGCCUGUUCAUUGGUCGACUCAUGUAUGAGUAACCUCGUUCCAUGGUUCUGAGGACUAUCAGUUCUAAGUCUAGCAUCGUUCCUGAAUUCGCUACUAAACCAAGACUCCUGGUAAAGACUCUCUUGGACACCAAUUCCACGCUUGUUAUGAAUGUAAUGCCUCCUGACUCGGCCUCCGCGCCCGUGUUCAGCACUGGUGAAUCUGUGGAAUUCUCUGCCACAGGAAACAGUUGAGGCCAGUUCAUUGGCUAUAUUUAAGAGGGAGUUAGAUAUGGCCCUUGUGGCUACGGGGAUCAGGGGGUAUGGAGGGAAGGCUGGGGCAGGGUUCUGAGUUGGAUGAUCAGCCAUGAUCAUAAUAAAUGGCGGUGCAGGCUCGAAGGACCGAAUGGCCUACUCCUGCACCUAUUUUCUAUGUUUCUAUGUUUCUAUGUUCCACUGCCACAUCCUUGCAACACUGAAGACAUGAACUGUUUAAGAGUGGAAUUAGUAGUGAGUAUCUUUACCCUACUAACUUGAAACCCUCAGGGUGAAACCCUUGGAGUAGAGACUAAAAAGCUAUGGUUAUAACACGCAGCAGCUUUAAUGAGACAAUAUCAGCAGAGACGAGUGUCCAAGAUCUUGACUGUGUAGUCAGGAAUUAAUUCUGUAAAAUCAAACCAAAAGAUUUGAUCAAGUAUUUGUACAAGAUUGUGAGUCGACUUUCUGUGGACGAUGAACUAUUUCACUCCGACGAACCAAGAAACAAGAUGGCGAACCACCCAGGAUGAAGCACCAGCGUGGGAACAAAAUAUGUAAUGACACAGAGGAUUCAAUAUGGUUGGAUGUUUAAGUUUACUUCAUUUGAAGAAUCCAAAUUUGAUUUUCUGCAAGAACUGUUUAUUUUUGCAAAGACUUUGCUAAGUUACUGAUUUACUUUGUUUGAGAGUCGUGAUGUUGGAGAAUUGUUGUGAAAUGAGUUAAACUGUGUACAUAAUCUAAUUUUUGAAUUUGAAUUUAAACUUGUAGAAAUACUGCCUGGAACUGAAACUGAAGUUAACUAUAAUACUUGAGAAUAGGAAUUGUAUUUGGUUUUCUAACUAACUAGGGAUAAGUAAAAAGGAAAGUUUAGUCUGUAAACUUUUAAAUAGGGAAUAACACUAGAUCUAAUUAGUUAGAGAAACAAGAGUUAUUUUAAUGAAUAUCAUUGAUUGUAACUGAACAGGAAUUUGGCUUUUGUUGAUAUCUAUGAUUUGGAACCUAAACAGAAUGUUUGAAAUUUGAAUUGUUCUUGCUCAUGUAAAUAUUUUGUACAUAUUGUUUUUUUCCUUAUA
Molecule: long non-coding RNA, 2334 nt
Organism: Mobula hypostoma (lesser devil ray)
Lineage: Eukaryota; Metazoa; Chordata; Chondrichthyes; Myliobatiformes; Myliobatidae
Exons: 6
Source: RefSeq, a predicted model, not a curated record